GCCGGAUUAGCUCAGCUGGUAGAGCGGCUGAUUUGUAAUCAGUAGGUCGGGGGUUCGAGUCCCUCAUCCGGCACCA
Molecule: transfer RNA, 76 nt
Filed under: Defluviicoccus vanus
Lineage: Bacteria; Pseudomonadati; Pseudomonadota; Alphaproteobacteria; Rhodospirillales; Rhodospirillaceae
Also listed under: 2 other names
Description: tRNA-Thr
Rfam family: tRNA
About the family: Transfer RNA (tRNA) molecules are approximately 80 nucleotides in length. Their secondary structure includes four short double-helical elements and three loops (D, anti-codon, and T loops).
Source: RNAcentral